UACGAAGGGGGCUAGCGUUGUUCGGAAUUACUGGGCGUAAAGGGCGCGUAGGCGGCUGUGCAAGUCAGGUGUGAAAGCCCUGGGCUCAACCCAGGAUGUGCACUUGAUACUGCGCAGCUAGAGUGUCGGAGAGGAUGGUGGAAUUCCCGGUGUAGAGGUGAAAUUCGUAGAUAUUGGGAAGAACACCGGUGGCGAAGGCGGCUCACUGGCCCGGUACUGACGCUGAGGUGCGAAAGCGUGGGGAGCAAACAGG
Molecule: ribosomal RNA, 253 nt
Filed under: uncultured bacterium
Lineage: Bacteria
Description: partial 16S ribosomal RNA
Rfam family: Bacterial small subunit ribosomal RNA
Source: RNAcentral